AUUGAACGCUGGCGGCAGGCUUAACACAUGCAAGUCGAGCGGGGGAAGGUAGCUUGCUACUGGACCUAGCGGCGGACGGGUGAGUAAUGCUUAGGAAUCUGCCUAUUAGUGGGGGACAACAUCUCGAAAGGGAUGCUAAUACCGAAUACGUCCUACGGGAGAAAGCAGGGGAUCUUCGGACCUUGCGCUAAUAGAUGAGCCUAAGUCAGCUUAGCUAGUUGGUGGGGUAAAGGCCUACCAAGGCGACGAGCUGUAGCGGGUCUGAGAGUAUGAUCCGCCACACUGGGACUGAGACACGGCCCAGACUCCUACGGGAGGCAGCAGUGGGGAAUAUUGGACAAUGGGGGGAACCCUGAUCCAGCCAUGCCGCGUGUGUGAAGAAGGCCUUAUGGUUGUAAAGCACUUUAAGCGAGGAGGAGGCUACUUUAGUUAAUACCUAGAGAUAGUGGACGUUACUCGCAGAAUAAGCACCGGCUAACUCUGUGCCAGCCGCCGCAGUAA
This 501-nucleotide ribosomal RNA is filed under the name uncultured bacterium. RNAcentral describes it as "partial 16S ribosomal RNA". It matches the Rfam family "Bacterial small subunit ribosomal RNA", at positions 30 to 523 of the family's 1533-position model. The record is from RNAcentral.